Molecule: unclassified non-coding RNA, 253 nt
Filed under: uncultured Planctomycetales bacterium
Lineage: Bacteria; Pseudomonadati; Planctomycetota; Planctomycetia; Planctomycetales
Description: contains 16S-23S intergenic spacer region
Rfam family: Bacterial small subunit ribosomal RNA
Source: RNAcentral
UACGUACUGCGCGAACGUUGUUCGGAAUCACUGGGCAUAAAGGGUGCGUAGGCGGCUUUGCAGGCCCGAUGUGAAAUCCCCCGGCCUAACCGGGGAAUGGCAUCGGGAACCGUGAGGCUCGAGCGGUUCAGGGGUGCAUGGAACUUCCGGUGGAGCGGUGAAAUGUGUUGAGAUCGGAAGGAACGCCGUUGGCGAAAGCGGUGCACUGGGGACAGGCUGACGCUGAGGCACGAAAGCCAGGGGAGCGAACGGG